CCUGAAGAAACUUGUUUGUAUCCCCAAAAGAAUAUAUGCACAAUUUUUCUUUAAGAACAAUCAAUUUAUCCAUUCCUCGAAAUCCAAAGUUCUCUUCUUCUUUUUUUUUUCUAACAGGAGGUCAUUAGUGUCAAAAGAACAGUCUCUUAUAAUAGUGAUUCCCUUCCAAAGUUGAUGGCUUGCCCUCACCUUGCAAGAGUAGCAGCCUUGUUAAAGAGUGCACAUUCCAACUGGUCUCAAGCUACAAUUAACUCUCCAAUCAUGACCAUUGUUGACUUAGUCAACGUUUGCAACAAUUUGAUUUAGGGUGAAAUGCUUACUCUUGUUGCUCUUUAUCAGUUGGAUUAGAACACGUGAAUCCAUCAAAAACAAAUGAUCCUAGAUUUUAUUUUUUUUUUAAUAAAUUUUUGGUGAUCUGUUAAGACCAUUUUAUUAUUAAAAGAAGGCCCAAAUGCCCACAUUACAUACUACCGGAUCAAAUACCCGGUCCAAUAGACAAUGGAGCUAAAAAGACUCCCUUUGUCUUAUAUAGAAAUGAUUUAGGAAAAUUUUACAUCAUUUCACCUUUCCCUUAACCAUAAUCCAUUUUCCUUUGAAAUCACGAUGCUUCUUGAGUAUUGCCCGUGGAUCUUCAAGCUUCGACUUCUUUAUUGUUCCAGCUGUAUCGAUGGUGGAUUGUAGUGUCUCUUAAUAUCAGUUUCACUCUCAGGCGGUCUUGUGUUCACUAAUGGCCAGAUAACUAUUUCACCCAGGUUUGAAUUAGAAAAUUCUUUCUCUUUAUCUGGUGGUUGAGGUGCUAGAACACUCCAUAUACCUCCCUUUGGGUGAAGAUUUUUGUUAGGAAGGGGUUUCUUUGUAGCUGUAGUUUGCACAGAUGUACUAACUUCUUCCAGGCUUACUGAUAAAUUCUCUUUUCUGUGCUGUUUAUUUUCUCUGUUGUUGCUACCACUGUUAUGAUUGUAAGUAUGCAUGCUAAUGUGUUGGUUAUUGUUGAACUAUUCUCCUUGUCUUGAUCCUAAUGUGAGGAAUUUGAUCCUUGUCAA
Molecule: long non-coding RNA, 1043 nt
Organism: Capsicum annuum
Lineage: Eukaryota; Viridiplantae; Streptophyta; Magnoliopsida; Solanales; Solanaceae
Exons: 2
Source: RefSeq, a predicted model, not a curated record